GACAGAGGGUGCAAACGUUGUUCGGAUUUACUGGGCGUAAAGCGCGUGUAGGCGGCUUUGCAAGUCGGAUGUGAAAGCCCACGGCUCAACCGUGGAAGUGCAUCCGAAACUGCAUAGCUGGAGUCCCGGAGAGGAAGGUGGAAUGCUUGGUGUAGAGGUGAAAUUCGUAGAUAUCAAGCAGAACACCUGCGGCGAAGGCGGCCUUCUGGACGGUGACUGACGCUGAGACGCGAAAGCGUGGGGAGCAAACAGG
This 253-nucleotide ribosomal RNA is filed under the name uncultured bacterium. Its description in RNAcentral is "partial 16S ribosomal RNA". It matches the Rfam family "Bacterial small subunit ribosomal RNA", at positions 524 to 776 of the family's 1533-position model. The record is from RNAcentral.